CGGACGGGUGAGUAACGCGUGAGAAUCUAGCUUCAGGUUGGGGACAACAGUUGGAAACGACUGCUAAUACCGAAURUGCCGAGAGGUGAAAGAUUWAUUGCCUGAAGAAGAGCUCGCGUCUGAUUAGCUAGUUGGUGGGGUAAGAGCUUACCAAGGCGACGAUCGGUAGCUGGUCUGAGAGGACGAUCAGCCACACUGGGACUGAGACACGGCCCAGACUCCUACGGGAGGCAGCAGUGGGGAAUUUUCCGCAAUGGGCGAAAGCCUGACGGAGCAAUACCGCGUGAGGGAAGAAGGCUCUUGGGUUGUAAACCUCUUUUCUUAGGGAAGAAAAAAAUGACGGUACCUAAGGAAUMAGCAUCGGCUAACUCCGUGCCAGCAGCCGCGGUAAUACGGAGGAUGCAAGCGUUAUCCGGAAUGAUUGGGCGUAAAGCGUCCGCAGGUGGYHWAUCAAGUUUGCGGUUAAAGGUUCUGGCUCAACCAGAGACAGGCCGUGAAAACUGAUWRRCUAGAGUAUGGUAGGGGCAGAGGGAAUUCCCAGUGUAGCGGUGAAAUGCGUAGAGAUUGGGAAGAACACCGGUGGCGAAAGCGCUCUGCUAGGCCAAAACUGACACUGAGGGACGAAAGCUAGGGGAGCGAAUGGGAUUAGAUACCCCAGUAGUC
Molecule: ribosomal RNA, 663 nt
Filed under: uncultured cyanobacterium
Lineage: Bacteria; Bacillati; Cyanobacteriota
Description: bacterial SSU rRNA
Rfam family: Bacterial small subunit ribosomal RNA
Source: RNAcentral